CGUUGGCGCCUCGCGACGCUAGACAGCAAACCCCGCCAGGCCCGGAAGGGAGCAACGGUAGUUGUUGAUGCGGGUGCCGAGGGCACGCUGGCGGGG
Molecule: signal recognition particle RNA, 96 nt
Filed under: Aquimonas sp.
Lineage: Bacteria; Pseudomonadati; Pseudomonadota; Gammaproteobacteria; Lysobacterales; Lysobacteraceae
Also listed under: 1 other name
Description: signal recognition particle sRNA small type
Rfam family: Bacterial small signal recognition particle RNA
About the family: The signal recognition particle (SRP) is a universally conserved ribonucleoprotein involved in the co-translational targeting of proteins to membranes. Archaeal SRP consists of a 7S RNA and homologues of the eukaryotic SRP19 and SRP54 proteins. In most bacteria, the SRP consists of a 4.5S RNA and the Ffh protein (a homologue of the eukaryotic SRP54 protein).
Source: RNAcentral